Molecule: ribosomal RNA, 324 nt
Filed under: uncultured bacterium
Lineage: Bacteria
Description: bacterial SSU rRNA
Rfam family: Bacterial small subunit ribosomal RNA
Source: RNAcentral
GACGAACGCUGGCGGCGUGCUUAACACAUGCAAGUCGAGCGGUAAGGCCCUUUCGGGGGUACACGAGCGGCGAACGGGUGAGUAACACGUGGGUGACCUGCCCUUAGCUCUGGGAUAAGCCUGGGAAACUGGGUCUAAUACCGGAUAUGACUCCAUGACGCAUGUUGUGGGGUGGAAAGCCUUGUGCGGCUAGGGGAUGGGCCCGCGGCCUAAUCAGCUUGUUGGUGGGGUNAUGGCCACCAAGGCGACGACGGGUAGCCGGCCUGAGAGGGCGACCGGCCACACUGGGACUGAGACACGGCCCAGACUCCUACGGGAGGCAGC